UACAGAACUUAGCGAGAUGACCAUACCU
This 28-nucleotide non-coding RNA is filed under the name Bombyx mori (domestic silkworm). Lineage: Eukaryota; Metazoa; Arthropoda; Insecta; Lepidoptera; Bombycidae. The record is from RNAcentral.